CUCAACCUUGCCCUCCUCAUCCUUCUUAUCUUCCUCAUCCUCAUCAUCAGAAAUCUCCUUCUCAGUGGUCUUCUCAGUCCAGAGAGAGAUGGGGUAGCUGAUGAACUCAGAGUGCUUCUUGAUCAGAUCCUUGAGGCGUCGCUCCUCAAGGUACUCCAACUGCAGAAAAUAGAAGAAAAUUAUAAGAGAGUGUUCAAACUGAUGGAAUUACUCUCAGAUAUUCAAACGUCAAAAACUCAAAUAUUCAGUAGAACAGUAAAUUUAAGACAGUUAAUGAUUAUCACUGUACAUCAACUUGUUGAUAUAAUCCCAAAAUAAUGUCAUAACUAGACACACAUGCAAAACAAAAUUUCAGUUUCUCUAUAAUUAUAGUAUCUGAAGAGCAAAGUUAUUCCAAAAAAAGACUACGAUUAGAUAAAUAGCAUGCUACAUUGUUCUUACCAAUCAGGGAAAUGCGUUAUCUAACAGCAAUAUCCCAAAUGAUCCUCUAAGAGUGAAUCUAAUGUAAUCCACAUUUACAGUUAGUUAUAACAAACCAAACAUAUUGGAGCUAUAUAUGCUUUCAAUUCAGCUUCCCAACAGAUCAGCACCACAAACUAACAUAGCAUAAUGGAACCGUGUGAUUUCAACAAAGGUACGACCAAAAAGCAUCAGCUGUAUCUAAAUAAUCCUAUAAAACAGUAAAUAACUAUGGCAGCAUCACCAAUAGUAAUUAACACACCACAGGCACUAAUCCGGGAAGUUUCUGCUAUACCUGAUCAUCCUUGAGGUAGAGGAUCAUCUUGGUACCCCUGCCAAGGGUCUCCCCAGAGGUAUCACGUGUGACGGUGAAGGAUCCACCAGCCUGAGACUCCCACACGUACUGCUCAUCGUCGUUGUGCUUGGUGGUCACAACAACUCUCUCAGCAACAAGGUAGGCAGAGUAGAAACCAACUCCAAACUGACCGAUCAUAGACACAUCAGCACCAGCAGCCAGAGCCUCCAUGAACUCCUUUGUUCCUGACCGUGCAAUGGUACCAAGGUUGUUCACGAGAUCUGACUUGGUCAUACCAAUACCACUGUCAAUGAUUGUCAGAGUGUUGGAGGCCUUGUCAGGAACAAUGUGGAUGAACAGCUCUGGCUGGGCAUCGAGCUUGCUCUUGUCCGUCAAGCUCUCAAACCUGAUCUUGUCCAAGGCCUGUCAAAGCCCACAAAAACAUUCAGGGUUGGAUUGAUACAUCAUUCAGUGCUUACAAAGUAAUUAAAUGAAACGUGCACAGCUUUCACUAUUAUUAUUUAUCAGGAGGUUAUUCUGUCAGAAUAGGGUAACAAGGUAUUUACUGCACUAAACACGAGUAACCACUACACACAAUCAAUUUAACCAUGUAGUUGUUGAAGCACCAACUACAAAGCCUUCUACCUUCCCAGCAUAAUCCAUUCUGACAUAGGAAGACCAGAUAAAUUUAUUUUGUCAAGACCAAUCAUGCUUGCAUUUGUACAUUCAAGAUUAGCACUGCAAUAAACACAAUUAACUGCAUCAACACGCAAUCAACUUAACCAUGUAGCUGUUGAAGCACGUACUACAAUAAACCAGCCUAGCAAAGAUUACAUUUAUCAAGAUCAAUCACGCUCUCACGGUUCUCGCUAGGGUUUCAGAUCGUUCAGAUUAGUCAUAAACCUUGCAAGUACAGAUGCCACAGACACAGCCGAGAUCUGACAAAAUUACUAUUUACGACUUCAGAAGUACAGGUUGAUAUGUCGUGGAUUUAAGCUGAAUAGUCAACCACGAACUAGCACAAAACCCUAUAUAACCCCCUAUCACCAGAUCCGAAGUACGAUGCGGAACCCACCGAUCCAUUGAACGACACGAGGGCUUAGCGCACAGAUCUAGAGCCGCAAACAGAAGAGCACGAGCGGGUAGGGGGGAAACUUACAUCGGAGGAGUUGGAGAUGAGCUCCCGGAGGAAGAUCUCCUUGUUGGAGUAGAAGGUGUUGAUGAUGAGGGAGAGCAGCUGGUUGAUCUCCGCCUGGAAGGCGAACGUCUCCGUCUCCGAGGCCAUGGCGAGACCUUGCUUCCGAACGCGAGGAGAGGGCGGCGGCGCUUGGGAGGAGGCGACGAGGGUUUGGGGGAAACCGAGGGAGCCUGAGAUGAGAUGGGGAGGCGGCCAGGCGGGUGCCCUGUGGGGUGAUAUAUUGGGGGCGGGUUGACUGACUUCCCGUUGGGCCGAAGUCUUCUAGGCCCAGCCGUGCUGGGGCUGGAGGCCCCGUGGCCCACGAGUCAGUGGGCGUUGUGUCUUUCUUUUUUCAGACUUGGAAGGUUCUAGAGCGAGGUGGGUUUAGAGCAUGAUUUACCUUACGAUUAACGGGCAGUUGGCAGGUCCAUCUACGAGCUCGUGUAUUGCUUGAUUUACGAAAGGUUUUUUGUUUUGAAAAAAAUAAUGAAGAGUCCAGUAUAAGAUUUGCACGAACUUUUUCUCGUGUUUUGAGUUGCGUUUGGGAGCUUUGAUAAUACGUCUGUCGACUGUCGUGAUCGCAAUAAUUUCCAAAUUCUGUGAAAUUUCUGCUCCGUUUAAGAACGGGAGAUAGUAGACACUGUCUCUAUUUAAUGCAACUUGCAGGGAAGCUUCUGGAAGGAAAUAUAAGUGUACUUUACCAAAAGAUUACCAUCUAAUUGUCUUUCCAUUUUAGGAGUUCGUAACAACCACACUGAUAAUGAAUAUACAGAACGGCGAGUGAUGUGUCAAACAAACACAUUUCAGAUUACGUGAACCCUCCUACACACCGCUAUAAACCAAUUUUGACGUGAAUUCUUUUUAGCCCUAUGCAGUUUGUAUCCUCAGAAAAAAAAGCAAAAGAAAAAAAAAUAUAAUCAUAUAGUAGACUUAUUUUGCAAUAGCUUAUAAUUCAAUGUACUUAUAGCUGAAUGCUAAGUUGCAGACAUAAAAGGAGAAAGCGAAAAAACAAUCCUUUCCUUCGCAGCGCGAGCCUAUUCCCUGAACCGGGGGACCAGGUGGAACAGCCAACGCCCAACAUGAACGGAGCUGGGUACACGAUCCCAGGCUUGAUAGCUUUUAUUAGUAAUUUGAAUUUGGGAUGCAAAUUUUGGUUCCAUGCGCGCAAUUGGUAAAUGGUAACAUCUGGACUUGUUGCGCGCACUCCAUCUAUCGUUUACAUGUGGGUUUAAUCAAAUCUAGUGUGUAAUGGAAAAAAUAAGGUGCUCUAGCUUUAGUUUCCUCACUAUUUUGCUAGCCGGUGUACUGGCGCGGCCUAAGGUAGUAAAAUAGUAUGAAACUGCUAAUUAUUUUCUUUGAACUAAAAAUUCUAGCGGAUUAUACACGGUUCUCCAAAUCUUACUCCCCAGGUACAUGUGGUGCUGCAUCUGCUUUAGAUUUGGAGGUGCAGGCCCGCAGUCCAUCACUGAAGUAAUGAAGCUACCAAUAAAUUGUGGAUGUAUUUUGAUAGGCAAAAAGUCUUCCGAAGUAUAUAUUGGCUCCUAGUUUCUCUUGCAACAUUUUGGCAAUCGCUACUAAGUAGUUAAUCUCAUCAUCAAGACAAUCUAUUGAUGUUACUUUAUUACUGCACUAAACGUGAUUUGACUGAGGUUAGUAACUUUUCAUGGAUUAAAAUAUGCCUUGCAUUCAUAAAUAGAGGGAGUAUCAUCUGAACCACAACUCCUAUUGUCUCCAGUUUGUUGGCCAUCACAUUCGAGUAAUAAAACUAUGUGUGUUAUUAGAAAAUAGUUCUGGUAACACUGAUGAAAAUUGCUGCAUCCUUGCAUAUUACUUUGAAAAUGCUAGUCAUACAUUGUAGAACCCAUAAUUCAUCUAUAAAGUAAAUGUUACGUCAGAUAUUAUACUCUAUCCAGCCCAAAUUAGUAUUAGCUGUUUUGAUUUUUCUAAAUUUAUAAAUUUUAUUAUGCACAACCGAAAUGAUUAAUAAUUUAGGAUAGAGGAGCCCUAUGUUCAUAUAUAAAGUACUUCAUUAAAAUGGCUAAGUUUAUUGCAUCAUGGUGCUACCACACUCUAAUUUUAUAUGUUAAGUACUACUACCCACUUUUUUAAUGGUUUGUAUUACCUUUUUUAUAUGAAAUACUCCCCAUUAACAUGGCUAAUGCACAUCAUUGCUGGAUUUACACGAUCAUAUGCACACUGAUCAGCCACCAAAUCUUUUUUUGGUGUAACAUAUCCACAUACAAUCACAAGUGCAGACCACUGCCUAGUGGUAAUCAACGCAGAGGCUGGGGCCAAAUUUUAUUAACCUCUCGGCUUGAAAAGCCACAGCUGAAUCCGCAAAACUCGCAAAUGCCCAGUUAAUUCGGAUCAACUACUAAAAAAAUGCACUGCAAGUGAAAGUAAAGUGGAUAAAUUGAGCUUAAGAAAAGAAAGUGAUACAAAAAUAGGGAUGAAAUUUGCAACAGAAAAUCUCUAACUCAUUUACCACCUACCAGAGCACGUUUGAAAUUGUUUUCAUAUAAAUAAUAUCAUCUCCAAUAACCAUAUUAAAUGAGUUUUUCAAUUUCUUAUUAGUUGCCACUGAUUAGUUUAAUACUAGUGAAACCGGCAAAAUUUCGGUUAAUCCUUUAUGUAUAUUAUCGUUACCGACCGUUUCCUAAAAGAACAGAUUGCAAAGCGAGAAAAAACAGUAAUUCGAAGACAGCAGGUUAAUAAUAACACUAUUAUACCACCGAUACUUAACCUACGCAGUUCGAUAAUCCACGGCACCAUAGCAUCUAGCCCCACGCAUUGCAGGCUAGGAAAAGUACCACACAAAACACACCGACAACUCAACUUUCAGGGAUAACCAGAACAGCUAAGCUAACUCAGACUCAAAAGUUGCACCCGGGCGCGCUUAGUCGACCUCCUCCAUCUUGCUCUCACCAGCGUCGUCCUCCAGAGGGGGCAUGUCGGUGUCAGCCUCCGGGGUCUCGUCCUCGUCGAUGCUCAGGCCCAGCUUGAGCAUGCGGUGAAUGCGGCUGCCGAAGGUGUUGGGGUCGUCAAGGCUGAAGCCAGAGGUGAGGAGCGCAGUCUCGAACAGCAGCAUGACAAGGUCCUUCACAGACUUGUCGUUCUUGUCAGCCUCAGCACGCUUGCGGAGCUCCUCCAUGAUGGCAUUCUCAGGGUUGAUCUCCAUGGUCUUCUUGGAGGACAUGUAUCCGGACAUGCUGGAGUCCCUCAGGGCCUGGGCCUUCAUGAUCCUCUCCAUGUUGGCAGUCCAGCCAUAUUCACCAGUGACCAGGCAGCAGGGGGAGUCCACCACACGGUCAGAGACCACCACCUUCUCAACCUUGUCACCCAGCACCUCCUUAAUCACCUUGCAGAGGCCCUCAAACUUCUCCUUGAGCUCCUCCUGCCUCUUCUUCUCGUCCUCAGUCUCAUCAAGCUUCAGGCCCUCCUUAGUGGCAGAGACGAGUUUCUUGCCCUCAAAUUCCUUCAGCUGGCCAAUGGCAUACUCAUCAAUUGCAUCCACCAUGUACAGGACUUCAUAGCCCUUCUUCUUCAGCUUCUCAAGGAAGGGGGAGUUCUCCACAGCCUUCUUGCUCUCACCAGUGAUGUAGUAGAUGUCGCUCUGGCCCUCCUUCAUCCUCGUCACAUAGUCCUUGAGGCUAGUCAGCUCAUCACCGCUCUUGGUGGAGUGGUACCUCAGGAGCUCAGCGAUCUUGGUCCUGUUCUGGGAGUCCUCGUGGAUGCCAAGCUUGAGGUUCUUGCAGAAGGCCUCAUAGAACUUGUUGUAGUCCUCCUUGUUCUCAGCAAUCUCGAAGAAGAGCUCAAUGCACUUCUUCACCAGGUUCUUGCGGAUAACCUUGAGGAUCUUGUUCUGCUGGAGGGUCUCACGGGAGAUGUUGAGGGGAAGGUCCUCAGAGUCAACGAUGCCCUUGACAAAGCUCAGCCACUCUGGGAUCAGCUCCUCACAGUUGUCCAUGAUGAAGACACGGCGCACAUAGAGCUUGAUGUUGUUCUGCUUCUUCCUGGUGUCGAAGAGGUCGAAGGGGGCCCUCUUGGGUACAAAGAGGACAGCCUUGAACUCAAGCUGACCCUCAACAGAGAAGUGCUUCACGGCAAGAUGCUCCUCCCAGUCGUUGGUCAAGCUCUUGUAGAAAGCAGCGUACUCUUCCUUGGUGAUCUCCUCAGGCUUCCUCAUCCAGAUAGGCUUCUGCUUGUUGACCAAUUGCCACUCGUGAGAAACCUCCUUGAUCUUCUUCUUUUUCUUCUCUUUCUCUUCCUUCUCCUCAUCAACAUCCUCAACCUUGCCCUCCUCAUCCUUCUUUUCUUCCUCAUCCUCAUCAUCAGAAAUUUCCUUCUCAGUGGUCUUCUCAGUCCAGAGAGAGAUGGGGUAGCUGAUGAACUCAGAGUGCUUCUUGAUCAGAUCCUUGAGGCGUCGCUCCUCAAG
This 6366-nucleotide long non-coding RNA is filed under the name Setaria viridis. Its description in RNAcentral is "long non-coding RNA (SVIR_LNC007459)". The record is from RNAcentral. Lineage: Eukaryota; Viridiplantae; Streptophyta; Magnoliopsida; Poales; Poaceae.